ACUCCUACGGGAGGCAGCAGUGGGGAAUUUUGGACAAUGGGCGAAAGCCUGAUCCAGCAAUGCCGCGUGUGUGAAGAAGGCCUUCGGGUUGUAAAGCACUUUUGUCCGGAAAGAAAUCCUUGGCUCUAAUACAGUCGGGGGAUGACGGUACCGGAAGAAUAAGCACCGGCUAACUACGUGCCAGCAGCCGCGGUAAUACGUAGGGUGCGAGCGUUAAUCGGAAUUACUGGGCGUAAAGCGUGCGCAGGCGGUUUGCUAAGACCGAUGUGAAAUCCCCGGGCUCAACCUGGGAACUGCAUUGGUGACUGGCAGGCUAGAGUAUGGCAGAGGGGGGUAGAAUUCCACGUGUAGCAGUGAAAUGCGUAGAGAUGUGGAGGAAUACCGAUGGCGAAGGCAGCCCCCUGGGCCAAUACUGACGCUCAUGCACGAAAGCGUGGGGAGCAAACAGGAUUAGAUACCCGUGUAGUCCCAUGAU
Molecule: ribosomal RNA, 475 nt
Filed under: uncultured organism
Description: partial 16S ribosomal RNA
Rfam family: Bacterial small subunit ribosomal RNA
Source: RNAcentral